UUUGAGUGCAAUAGCCGAAUAGCGUGUGCGCUGCCUUAAUUUAGCGUUAGACGUGCGCGCAAGUAGCAUAAAUUUAGGCACUAUAGUGUGCUGUUGUUUAUGCCGAAUUGUUUUUGUAUGUAUGUAACUAUUACAAAUACAUAUAUGUUGAAACUAAAUUCUUCAAUCCUUGAAAUGUGUGCGCCGGCAAAGAUUUAAGGCCACAAUUUUGUAAAUUCAAACGUUUUAAUUUACCAAGUCCAUAAAAUGCAUUCGGAUCAAUAUUAAUGAUGCUAUUGUCGGCUAAAGUUCUGUGAAUAAUGAAGUAAAAAAUUCAAAUAUCUCAAGCAAUGUUAAAAACUGGCAUAUGAAAUUAAAAUUAGGAGUAGAAAAUGCGCAAAACGCGCUGCAUCCCUAUUUACAUGGCUGUGGAUGAAAGCAGCGCUUUAAGGCUCAUCCUUGCCAAAUGGGCAUUAUUAAUUGCCGGAUGUGUUGAAAUGUGGUAAUAAAGUCAUUUAUCUAAGCAAACUUGAAAGGCUUGAGGGGUGGCGCGGCUGCUGCUAACUGUGCUGCCGACGAAAGUAAGCGCUCAAAGCUACCAAGGCGCAGCGCAGAUAAAUUGAAGUUGAAGAAGAGUAUAAAGGUUGUGCAAAAGUUUAAGCACUUAUAGUCCGCUAAAAUAAGAGCUGGUUGACACUGUUGGCGAUAAGAGCAAAAAAGUUAAAGAAACAGUGCUAGAAAAGCAUCUCUGACAUCAGAGAGAUAGCAGCAGAGCAUAACAUCUCUUAUGGGAUGACACUAUUUUGGUUGAUGUUAAGGGUAUGAAGCGUGUGAAUGCGAGACUUGCCUAAAAAUAGAUACUGGACAACUCAGCUGAAUACCCUACAUUCAUAAAAUACAUAAUUACUGGUAACGAGACGAUGGUUUAUGAAUAUGACGUCGAAACUGUCCGACAAUAUAGCAAAUGAUGUUUCAAAAUUAGCCGCAUCCAAAAAACCACGUCAAAGUCGGGCAAAAUUCAAGUUGAUGCUCAUCGUUUUCUUUGAUUACCGUGGUAUGGUUCACCAUGAAUUCUUUUUCCACUGAGUCUUAUAAUAAAUGUUUGGAAAAUUGAAUGUUUGUAUUGGCUCAAGAGGGGUCUAUUUUGAAUGCGAUAAUAAAGAUUUUAUUAAAA
Non-coding RNA from Bactrocera oleae (olive fruit fly), 1153 nucleotides. The record is from RefSeq and is a predicted model, not a curated record. NCBI's taxonomy places the organism in Eukaryota, Metazoa, Arthropoda, Insecta, Diptera, Tephritidae.